This is a long non-coding RNA of Tupaia belangeri chinensis (Chinese tree shrew), 971 nucleotides long. RefSeq lists it as uncharacterized. The record is from RefSeq and is a predicted model, not a curated record. NCBI's taxonomy places the organism in Eukaryota, Metazoa, Chordata, Mammalia, Scandentia, Tupaiidae. The transcript is spliced from 3 exons.
GGACUCAAACCACAGUCGACUACAUGGAAGUCCAGUGACAUAGCCAUUACGCCAGCUGCUGGUCCUGCGGCACGAAGAUGUUAAGGAACUUGCUCCGAGUACUGCAGUUUUUAAGGAUCAGUGGCUUGUUAUUCAAACAGAAACUAAUACCAACAACUUGGCCACAAUGUCCAUUGACCUACAUCAUGAUUCUGGGGACUAGAACAUGGACAUCUUUGGGAGCUAUCAAUUUGCCUCUCAUAACAGGAUCUUGCUGUGUUGUGAUUCUCCUGCCUCAGCUUCCUGAGUAGUUGGGACUACAGGUAUACAUCACCAUGCUGGUUUUUAAGAUGAACUAGGAAUUAAACCAAGCCUCUCAUGUGAUUUUAGCCUGCCAAGUAGAGUGUCAGCCAGCACACAGUACCCUGAUUAGGCCCAAAUUUCAAGAAAAAAAAUAUUAUAAUGAAAAUUGUGGGUUUCUUUCCCUGUGGGAAGGAUAGCUCAAGGAAUAUGUAUCAGUUAAAAUUCAAGUAAAAAUAUUGUCUCUCUGAGUAAUAAAAUCGCCUUAAUGAGCUGCUUAUAUUUUUCUGAAUUGAAUUUUAUAUUAUCGCAGACUUUUGGUAAGCCGUUUUCACUAUUCACUCCAUGCCCAAAGUUUCUGAACUGUCAGUACUGCUUGCUUUUAGAGUCAAACGUGUCUAAGUUUCUCCAGAGGCUGUGGGCUUUGACUUUGCUUAUUUGAAGACUUUAAAAGUAAACAAAACCCCAGGAAGUCAUGUGGUCAUUUCUUGCCUUGAAUACCUCAAAUCACCACUUUUCAUUGCUAUUUAGAGGGAGGUAGAGGUUUCCAUUUUAGGCAUUUAGAGAAUUUUAAUUUCUAUGAUCUUAGUUUCUCCUGUUUUUCAGAUUAUUCUUCAGGGCAAGUAAGUAGCAGUGGAACAUAAUUUAUCCUAGUCAUAGGUUGAAAUCACAAGUAAGGUGAUAAAAUCUGA